CGUAGGCGCAAGCGUUGUCCGGAAUUAUUGGGCGUAAAGAGCUCGUAGGCGGCUUGUCACGUCGGAUGUGAAAGCCCGGGGCUUAAACCCCGGGUCGUGCAUUCGUAUACGGGCGUAGCUAGAGUGUGGUAGGGGAGGAUCGGAAUUCCUGGUGUAGCGGUGAAAUAGCGCAGAUAUCAGGAGGAACACCGGUGGCGAAGGCGGAUCUCUGGGCCGAUUACUGACGCUGAGGAGCGAAAGCGUGGGGAGCGAACAGGAUU
RNAcentral lists this ribosomal RNA (260 nucleotides) under uncultured bacterium. RNAcentral describes it as "partial 16S ribosomal RNA". It matches the Rfam family "Bacterial small subunit ribosomal RNA", at positions 526 to 779 of the family's 1533-position model. The record is from RNAcentral.